This 56-nucleotide ribosomal RNA is filed under the name uncultured eukaryote. RNAcentral's name for it is "partial small subunit ribosomal RNA". The record is from RNAcentral.
UAUGAUUGGGGUGAAGUCGUAACAAGGUAACCGUAGGUGAACCUGCAGAAGGAUCA